GCCAGGAUAGUAGCUCAGUGGUAGAACACUUGCCUAGAAUGUGCAAGGACCUGGGUUCAGCCCCCAGUACUGCA
RNAcentral lists this transfer RNA (74 nucleotides) under Marmota monax (woodchuck). RNAcentral's name for it is "tRNA.Ser". Lineage: Eukaryota; Metazoa; Chordata; Mammalia; Rodentia; Sciuridae. The record is from RNAcentral.